This 249-nucleotide unclassified non-coding RNA is filed under the name Cladophialophora sp. RNAcentral describes it as "partial contains small subunit ribosomal RNA, internal transcribed spacer 1, and 5.8S ribosomal RNA". The stretch from base 1 to 46 matches the Rfam family "Eukaryotic small subunit ribosomal RNA", at positions 1786 to 1831 of the family's 1831-position model. Lineage: Eukaryota; Fungi; Ascomycota; Eurotiomycetes; Chaetothyriales; Herpotrichiellaceae. The record is from RNAcentral.
AAGUCGUAACAAGGUUUCCGUAGGUGAACCUGCGGAAGGAUCAUUAAUGAGUUAGGGUCUUCCAGGCCUGACCUCCAACCCUUUGUAUAAAUACCAUGUUGCUUUGGCGGGCCCGCCCUUAACCGGACCGUUGGGGGUAUAUCCCCUGGCCAGUGCUCGUCAGUAGCCCACAACAAACCCUUUCAACCAUGUUAAAUCUGAAACUAGUUAAAUAAACUAAAACUUUCAACAACGGAUCUCUUGGUUCUG